AGAGUUUGAUCCUGGCUCAGAAUCAACGCUGGCGGCGUGCCUAACACAUGCAAGUCGAACGCGAAAGGGGCUUCGGUCCUGAGUAGAGUGGCGAACGGGUGAGUAACACGUGGGUGAUCUACCUUCGAGUGGGGGAUAACGUCCCGAAAGGGACGCUAAUACCGCAUGACGUUCUGGGUUUAAAGACCUGGAAACCAAAGCCGGGGACCGCAAGGCCUGGCGCUUGAAGAGGAGCCCGCGUCCGAUUAGCUAGUUGGCGGGGUAAUGGCCCACCAAGGCGACGAUCGGUAGCCGGCCUGAGAGGGCGGACGGCCACACUGGAACUGAGACACGGUCCAGACUCCUACGGGAGGCAGCAGUGGGGAAUUGUUCACAAUGGGCGCAAGCCUGAUGACGCAACGCCGCGUGGGGGAUGAAGGUCUUCGGAUUGUAAACCCCUGUCGAACGGGACGAAAGACCCGGGAGCUAAUCAUCCUGGGAGUGACGGUACCGUUAAAGGAAGCCACGGCUAACUCUGUGCCAGCCGCCGCGGUAAUAC
This 538-nucleotide ribosomal RNA is filed under the name uncultured bacterium. RNAcentral's name for it is "bacterial SSU rRNA". It matches the Rfam family "Bacterial small subunit ribosomal RNA", at positions 8 to 526 of the family's 1533-position model. The record is from RNAcentral.